GCGCCAGUAGCUCAGCUGGAUAGAGCAACGGCCUUCUAAGCCGUGGGCCGGGGGUUCGAGUCCUCCCUGGCGUGCCA
This 77-nucleotide transfer RNA is filed under the name Desulfuromonas sp. RNAcentral's name for it is "tRNA-Arg". It matches the Rfam family "tRNA". Rfam says of the family: Transfer RNA (tRNA) molecules are approximately 80 nucleotides in length. Their secondary structure includes four short double-helical elements and three loops (D, anti-codon, and T loops). Lineage: Bacteria; Pseudomonadati; Thermodesulfobacteriota; Desulfuromonadia; Desulfuromonadales; Desulfuromonadaceae. The record is from RNAcentral.